UACGUAGGGUGCGAGCGUUAAUCGGAAUUACUGGGCGUAAAGCGUGCGCAGGCGGUUUCGUAAGCCAGAUGUGAAAUCCCCGGGCUUAACCUGGGAAUGGCAUUUGGGACUGCAAGGCUUGAGUGCGGCAGAGGAGACUGGAAUUCCUGGUGUAGCAGUGAAAUGCGUAGAUAUCAGGAGGAACACCGAUGGCGAAGGCAGGUCUCUGGGCUGACACUGACGCUCAUGCACGAAAGCGUGGGGAGCAAACAGG
This 253-nucleotide ribosomal RNA is filed under the name uncultured bacterium. RNAcentral's name for it is "partial 16S ribosomal RNA". It matches the Rfam family "Bacterial small subunit ribosomal RNA", at positions 524 to 776 of the family's 1533-position model. The record is from RNAcentral.